CAACUUUCAGCAGUGGAUGUCUAGGCUCGCACAUCGAUGAAGAACGCUGCGAACUGCGAUACGUAAUGCGAAUUGCAGGAUUCAGUGAGUCAUCGAAAUUUUGAACGCAUAUUGCACUUCCGGGUUAGUCCUGGAAGUAUGCCUGUAUC
This is a ribosomal RNA of 149 nucleotides. It matches the Rfam family "5.8S ribosomal RNA". Rfam says of the family: 5.8S ribosomal RNA (5.8S rRNA) is a component of the large subunit of the eukaryotic ribosome.